This is a non-coding RNA of Phrynosoma platyrhinos (Desert horned lizard), 71 nucleotides long. Lineage: Eukaryota; Metazoa; Chordata; Lepidosauria; Squamata; Phrynosomatidae. The record is from the annotation of a GenBank genome assembly.
GCCAGUGUGGUAUAAUGGUUUGAGUGUUGGACUAUGACUCUGGAAACCAGGGUUCAAAUCCCAGUUUGGCC